GAGCCUGUAGCUCAGUCUGGAUUAGAGCAUCUGCCUCCUAAGCAGAAGGUCGAGGGUUCAAAUCCCUUCAGGCUCG
Molecule: transfer RNA, 76 nt
Filed under: Candidatus Nanoarchaeia archaeon
Lineage: Archaea; Nanobdellati; Nanobdellota; Candidatus Nanoarchaeia
Description: tRNA-Arg
Rfam family: tRNA
About the family: Transfer RNA (tRNA) molecules are approximately 80 nucleotides in length. Their secondary structure includes four short double-helical elements and three loops (D, anti-codon, and T loops).
Source: RNAcentral